GCCGGUGUGGCGGAACUGGCAGACGCGCGGGACUCAAAAUCCCGUCUUGGGCAACCAGGGUGUGGGUUCGAUUCCCUCCACCGGCACCA
RNAcentral lists this transfer RNA (89 nucleotides) under Candidatus Aminicenantota bacterium. Its description in RNAcentral is "Candidatus Aminicenantes bacterium tRNA-Leu". It matches the Rfam family "tRNA". Rfam says of the family: Transfer RNA (tRNA) molecules are approximately 80 nucleotides in length. Their secondary structure includes four short double-helical elements and three loops (D, anti-codon, and T loops). The record is from RNAcentral. RNAcentral also lists the same sequence under 1 other name. Lineage: Bacteria; Candidatus Aminicenantota.